This 162-nucleotide non-coding RNA is filed under the name uncultured Lachnoclostridium sp. RNAcentral's name for it is "Lysine riboswitch". It matches the Rfam family "Lysine riboswitch aptamer". From Rfam's summary of the family: Riboswitches are metabolite binding domains within certain messenger RNAs that serve as precision sensors for their corresponding targets. Allosteric rearrangement of mRNA structure is mediated by ligand binding, and this results in modulation of gene expression. The record is from RNAcentral. Lineage: Bacteria; Bacillati; Bacillota; Clostridia; Lachnospirales; Lachnospiraceae.
UGAUAGAGGUGCAGUGUUCAAUAGUACCACAGAAUAGAAGCACGGGUAUGCAUACUGUGUGGAAAGGGAACAUUGCCGAAGGAGAUCUUGUUUUCCCGGACAGAUUUCCUGGGCCGUAUGCAGAAUAUGCUGCGGACUGUCACAACCUGUGGAGCGCUAUCA